GGGAUGAACACAAAGGGAAAGAGGAGAGGCACUCAAUAUAUGUUCUGUAGGCCUUUUAGAAAACAUAGAGUUGUUCCUUUGGCCACAUAUAUGCAAAUCUAUAAGAAAGGUGAUAUUGUAGACAUUAAGGGAAUGAGUACUGUUCAAAAAGGAAUGCUUUACAAGUGUUACCAUGGCAAAAGUAGAGGAGUCUACAAUGCCCCCAGCAUGCUGUUGGCACUGUUGUAAACAACAAGUUAAGGGCAAGACUCUUGCUAAGAGAAUCAAUGUGUGUGCUGGGCACAUUAAGCACUCUAAGAGCUGAGAUAGCUUCCUGAAAUGCAUGAAGAAAAAUGAUCAGAAAAAGAAGGUGUACCUGGUGUCAGCCUGCUCCACGCAGAGAAGCACACUUUGUGAGAACUCACGGGAAGGAGCUUGCAUUGCUGGAAGCUAUUUCCUAUGACUUCAU
Molecule: long non-coding RNA, 448 nt
Filed under: Homo sapiens (human)
Lineage: Eukaryota; Metazoa; Chordata; Mammalia; Primates; Hominidae
Description: non-protein coding lnc-DYNC1I1-7:1
Source: RNAcentral